RNAcentral lists this ribosomal RNA (436 nucleotides) under uncultured freshwater bacterium. RNAcentral's name for it is "bacterial SSU rRNA". It matches the Rfam family "Bacterial small subunit ribosomal RNA", at positions 958 to 1395 of the family's 1533-position model. The record is from RNAcentral.
AACGCGAAGAACCUUACCAAGGCUUGACAUAUACAGGAAAAGCGUAGAAAUACGCUCCCCGCAAGGUCUGUAUACAGGUGGUGCAUGGUUGUCGUCAGCUCGUGUCGUGAGAUGUUGGGUUAAGUCCCGCAACGAGCGCAACCCUCGUCCUAUGUUGCCAGCACGCAAUGGUGGGAACUCAUGGGAGACUGCCGGGGUCGACUCGGAGGAAGGUGGGGAUGACGUCAAAUCAUCAUGCCCCUUAUGUCUUGGGCUUCACGCAUGCUACAAUGGCCGAUACAGAGGGCUGCAAUACCGCAAGGUGGAGCGAAUCCCACAAAGUCGGUCUCAGUUCGGAUUGAGGUCUGCAACUCGACCUCAUGAAGUCGGAGUCGCUAGUAAUCGCAGAUCAGCAACGCUGCGGUGAAUACGUUCCCGGGUCUUGUACACACCGAAU